Molecule: long non-coding RNA, 1148 nt
Filed under: Numida meleagris (helmeted guineafowl)
Lineage: Eukaryota; Metazoa; Chordata; Aves; Galliformes; Numididae
Description: lncRNA (ENSNMEG00000022122.1)
Source: RNAcentral
UAGGAGGACAUACAAUUUGUUUCCUUAGGAUUGACACUGUCUCCCACAGUAUUCUCCUGGAGAAACUGGCAGCCCGUGGCUUGGACAGGUACACCCUUUGCUGGGUAAGGAGCUGGCUGAAGGGCCGGGCCCAGAGAGCGGUGGUGAAUGGAGUUAAAUCCAGCUGGCGACCGGUCAUGAGUGGUGUUCCCCAGGGGUCGGUGCUGAGGCCUGUCCUCUUCAAUAUCUUUAUUGAUGACCUGGAUGAGGGCAUUGAGAGCACCCUCAGUAAGUUUGCAGACGACACCAAGCUGGCAGGAAGUGUCGAUCUGCCUGGGGGUAGAGAGGCCCUACAGAGAGAUCUGGACAGGCUGGAUCUCUGGGCUGAAGCCAACGGGAUGAGGUUCAACAAGACCAAGUGCCGGGUCCUGCACUUCGGCCGCAACAACCCCAGGCAACGCUACAGGCUUGGAGCAGAGUGGCUGGAUGGUUGUGUGGAGGAAACGGACCUGGAGGUAUUAGUUGAUGCUCAGCUGAGCAUGAGCCAGCAGUGUGCCCAGGUGGCCAAGAAGGCCAAUGGCAUCCUGGCUUGUAUCAGAAAUAGUGUUGCCAGUAGGAGUAGGGAAGUCAUUGUCCCUCUGUACUCAGCCCUAGUGAGGCCCCACCUUGAGUACUGUGUCCAGUUUUGGGCCCCUCACUGCAAGAAAGACAUUGAGGCCCUGGAGCGUGUUCAGAGGAGGGCGACGAAGCUGGUGAGGGGUCUGGAGCACAGGCCUUAUGAGGAGCGGCUGAGGGAGCUGGGAUUGUUCAGCCUGGAGAAGAGGAGGCUCAGGGGGGACCUCAUCGCUCUCUAUAAUCACCUGAAGAGAGGUUGUAGUGAGCUGGGGGUCGGCCUCUUCUCUCUUGUAACUAGUGACAGGACGAGGGGGAAUGGCUUCAAGUUGCGCCAGGGGAGAUUUAGGCUGGACAUUAGGAAAUACUGCUUUUCUGAAAGAGUGGUCAGGCGCUGGAAUGGGCUGCCCAGGGAGGUGGUUGAGUCACCGUCCCUGGAGGUGUUCAAGAAAUGUUUAGAUAUAGCGUUGAGAGACAUGGUUUAGUGGGGUUGUUGGUGGUAGGUGGAUGGUUGGACUAGGUGAUCUUGUAGGUCUUUUCCAACCUGGCUAAUUCUA